Molecule: long non-coding RNA, 1602 nt
Filed under: Pongo abelii (Sumatran orangutan)
Lineage: Eukaryota; Metazoa; Chordata; Mammalia; Primates; Hominidae
Description: lincRNA
Source: RNAcentral
CAUUCUUGUAACCCAGGCUGGAGUGCAGUGGCGUGAUCUCAGCUCACUGCAACCUCUGCCUACUGGGUUCAAGCAAUUCUCCUGCCUGAUUCUCCCAAGUAGCUGGGAUUACAGGUGCACCACCAUGCUGGCUAAUUUUUUGUAUUUUUAGUAGAGAUGGGGUUUCACCAUGUUGGUCAGGCUGGUCUUGAACUCCUGACCUCAAAUGAUCCGCCCACCUCGGCCUCCCAAAAUGCUGGGAUUACAGGUGUGAGCCACCGUGCCCAGCCUAAGGCACACAAUUUGCAAAGGAAAUUGAGGCUCUCGCACAAAUCCAGUCCACCCUGUACUUAGACCCAACAUGCAGGAGGUGUUGACUCUCAUCCCUUGACUCAGGACAUGUGUGUAAUUGUUAAUGUCAUCAUAAGACCUUUCGACAAGUGUAAUUGUGACAUAUACCUUGGCCCAGCAUCUGAGUUAUUUGUUCUUUCCUGGGUCCAGCUCACAGUGCCAUAUCACUGGACCCAGACCCUUGGUAAUGUGAUUAUAUUCUGCCUUGAUAAAGCCCACAGGGGUCAUUGUGACAUCGCUGGGCAUUACACCUAGGUGAUUCGAGUCUCCUCUUCUGCCUUGGUGCUGCCCACAGGUGUAUUGUGACAUAUUGCUGGGCGUAUGUUAUGUGACUCUUUUGCUUGUGCCCUAAACACUUAGGCCGUUGUAACAUUGUUGAGUGCAACACCCACAUGAUGUAACGCUUCAUCCUGGACCUGUCUACAGAGGGCAUUGUAAUAUAUGUCUUCACCAAUCACCCAGGAAAUGUGACUUUUCAUUCCUGCCUGUUCUGUACUCACAGGGGGUAUUGGGACAUAUUGGGCCCAGCACCUAGCUGAUGUGACUUUUCUUUUAUCUAGGUUCUGCCAACAAAGGAGAUUGUGACACAUUGCUGGGCCUAACACUACGGUGAUGUUACUUACUUGCUUUGGCUGUGCCCUUGGAAGGCAUUGAGACAUACUGCUGUGCCCAGCACCAAGAUGUAACGUGACUCUUCUGCUUCAGGCCUGCCAAAAGAAAAGAUUGUGACAGAUCACUGGACCCAGCACCUAGGUGAUGUGACUCUCCUCAUUUGCCUGAGACCUGCAUAUUUUAGAUAUUGUGACAUAUAACUGGAACAAACACCUAGGGGUUGGAAGGCUCCUGCCUGAGUCCCUCCCACAGGAGGCCUUGUGAUUUUUUUUGUUUUUUGUUUUUUUUGAGAUGGAGUUUUGUUCUUGUUGCCCAGACUGGCAUGCGGUGGCGUGACCUCGGCCCACUGCAACCUCCGCCUCCCGGGUUCAAGUGGUUCUCCUGCCUCAACCUCCUGAGUAGCUGGGAUUACAGGCAUCUGCCACCAUGCCCAGCUAAUUUUCUAUUUUUAGUAGAGACGGGGUUUCUCCAUGUUGGUCAGGCUGGUCUCAAACUCCUGAAAUCAGGUGAUCCACCUGCCUUGGCCUCCCAAAAUGCUGGGUUUACAGUUGUGAGCCACUGCGCCCAGCUUUGUGAUGUAUUUCUGCAUCCAUCAUGCAGGAGAUAAAACUGUAUUUUUGCCUGCAUUCUGCCCACAGGGAAGAUUUUAACAUAUCGUUG